UUAAGUUCAGCGGGUAACCCUACCUGAUCCGAGGUCAAACCAUAGAAAAUAAUUAGGUUGACGGCAGGUCGCCGCCGGGACCCGAUGCGAGACUGAAAGUUACUACGCAUAGGACGCCGCGGCGGGACCGCCACUUCAUUCCGGGGCCUACGUUUUACUGUAGUGCCCCAACACGAUCCACUAAAAGCGGCUCGAGGGCU
This 200-nucleotide unclassified non-coding RNA is filed under the name uncultured Microascales. RNAcentral's name for it is "sequence contains ITS2". The record is from RNAcentral. Lineage: Eukaryota; Fungi; Ascomycota; Sordariomycetes; Microascales.